UGGGGAAUUUUGGACAAUGGGCGCAAGCCUGAUCCAGCCAUGCCGCGUGCGGGAAGAAGGCCUUCGGGUUGUAAACCGCUUUUGUCAGGGAAGAAAUCUUCUGAGUUAAUACCUCGGGAGGAUGACGGUACCUGAAGAAUAAGCACCGGCUAACUACGUGCCAGCAGCCGCGGUAAUACGUAGGGUGCAAGCGUUAAUCGGAAUUACUGGGCGUAAAGCGUGCGCAGGCGGUUUUGUAAGACAGAGGUGAAAUCCCCGGGCUCAACCUGGGAACUGCCUUUGUGACUGCAAGGCUUGAGUGCGGCAGAGGGGGGAUGGAAUUCCGCGUGUAGCAGUGAAAUGCGUAGAUAUGCGGAGGAACACCGAUGGCGAAGGCAAUCCCCUGGGCCUGCACUGACGCUCAUGCACGAAAGCGUGGGGAGCAAACAGGAUUAGAUACCCUGGUAGUCCACGCCCUAAACGAUGUCAACUGGUUGUUGGGAAGGUUCCUUCUCAGUAACGUAGCUAACGCGUGAAGUUGACCGCUGGGGAGUACGGCCGCAAGGUUGAAACUCAAAUGAAUUGACGGGGU
RNAcentral lists this ribosomal RNA (571 nucleotides) under uncultured bacterium. RNAcentral's name for it is "partial 16S ribosomal RNA". It matches the Rfam family "Bacterial small subunit ribosomal RNA", at positions 355 to 919 of the family's 1533-position model. The record is from RNAcentral.